AUUUUGUCACUGGGGCGGGAAAGGAUCCUCUUCCUCAGUACAAGUAAGUGAAAAGCGUCUUCGAGAUCUAUGCUAUCUGGUACAUACUCCCUCCUAAUUCCUGGAACCAAACAAACGUAAAACAAGCUGCUGGAAUAAUUCGAAGAGGAGUCUGAGUUUGUGCUGCAGGAAACAGAGAAUCAUGCAAGCAUUUUUGAAAGGAACAACUGUUCAAACAACUCGACCUCAGAAAAAUAAGUGUGCUUCAGGUUCCAUCAUAAGGAAAGCCAAGCUUACUCCAUGGGUAGAAAAAUAUAGACCAAACUGCGUUGACGAAGUUGCCUUUCAGGAGGAAUCUGUAGCAGUGUUGAAGAAGGCACUGGAAGGCGCAGAUGUAAGUUUUUUUUUUUUUCCUUUUUUUUUUUUUUUUUGUAAAAGGCCCUUAAUCUAAUAAAUG
Molecule: long non-coding RNA, 436 nt
Organism: Syngnathoides biaculeatus (alligator pipefish)
Lineage: Eukaryota; Metazoa; Chordata; Actinopteri; Syngnathiformes; Syngnathidae
Exons: 3
Source: RefSeq, a predicted model, not a curated record